Molecule: long non-coding RNA, 550 nt
Filed under: Rattus norvegicus (Norway rat)
Lineage: Eukaryota; Metazoa; Chordata; Mammalia; Rodentia; Muridae
Description: long non-coding RNA NONRATT000120
Source: RNAcentral
AAAAAUGAAACAAUGGAAGAACACAACUUUAUAAAUGUUAUUUUUAUUUUUAUUGUUGUUUUAUCUUCAUGUAUGUGUCUGUGCCCUGCUUACGUGCCUGGAUCUCACGGAAAACAAACAAAAACAUUGCAUGGCCUGGGACUGGGAAGAUGGAGAGAAGCCUGCGCUCUUAACCACUGAACCACCUUUUAAGGCCUCAGAAAAAUACAGCUCUAAGCACAGCAAUCAUGAGUGUUUAAAACAUUUAAAGUUUAUAGUGAUAUAGAGCUUUUUCUUUCCAGAUAUAUUUCCCUUAUCUUGUUGUUUUAUACAUCCAAAUGCUUUGCAUUUAGGACAGGCUUCAAUUAUUUAAAUGUUCCUCUACAUGGAGCACCAGGACGUUUUUGGUUAUUAAAUGAUGUGACUACCGGGAUCCUAUCCUUAUUUAUUAUAGAAAAUAUUGUAUUGAUUAUUGCAAUCUACCCUCUGAAUUUUGGAUCUUUCCCUUGGCCUUUCCUAUCAUGCUUAUAAAUCUUAAAAGACUAUUAUUAAAAUGUUAAAUAAAUAACAA